GCCUGCGCUAAAACAAUACCCUAAAAAUACCAGAUCCUGUCUGUUCUUGGAAGCUAAGCAGGGUCAGUCCUGGUUAGUACUUGGAUGGGAGACCUCCAAUGAAAAUCUGAGGCAGGAACUGGCU
RNAcentral lists this ribosomal RNA (124 nucleotides) under Anolis carolinensis (green anole). Lineage: Eukaryota; Metazoa; Chordata; Lepidosauria; Squamata; Anolidae. The record is from RNAcentral.